This 1127-nucleotide long non-coding RNA is filed under the name Pogona vitticeps (central bearded dragon). Its description in RNAcentral is "lncRNA (ENSPVIG00000001611.1)". Lineage: Eukaryota; Metazoa; Chordata; Lepidosauria; Squamata; Agamidae. The record is from RNAcentral.
UAUCCAAGAUGCGUCUUCCAGAUAACUUGGGCGAUGAAACUGGGACGGGGACUCUGAAACUCAGUGGGACUGAGUGCCUUUACUUGCAGUAACUGGGUACAAUGGGGUGUGGAGUGAUCGGGCGACGCCUAUCUCGCCGCCCCAGCUUCUCACGCCGCAGAAUAAAAGAUUCGACCCCCCCUCCCCUCCCCACGCCAAAAAAGCACACCACAACACCGUAUGGCCGAAGCACACGUUUUUUGCACCUUGAUUGAGUGAAUGGGGAAUAACUGUGCAACAGUACCCGAUGUGACCUAAUUAAAACAAAAAAGAAAAAAGAAAGAAACAACAACAACAACAUGGAAACGCAGUCCUUUCCCCCAUGCCCAUCACCAAAUGAUCCUAAGAAUGAAACGGAAGCUAAAAGGAGGCAGUGUGAAUAACGAUUCCCUGCUCAGUCGGUUCCUGAGAGGAUGGACGGCAACUCUUUUGAUUUCCAUUCAAAGCCUCUCCGCUGCGGCCGAGGCAGUAGGUGAAAAACCAGGAGGCAGCAGCCGUCGGGGGCCCCCCCUUUUGCCGGUCAGCCAAGAAUAAAAGGGCGAGUGGCGCUUUUACUGCUGACCAGGCGAGAGGUUGCCCUCUCCAUCUGAGCAUGGAGGGGUUCGAAGGGCUCUUUACUGUGACAGGCUGGAGGGCUCCGGGCAGGCGCCACUACAUCGAUUGUCUAACGAUCUAUAGGCGAGGGCCGUUCCUCCUCUCACAAGAAUGCUCGGGCACACGGAGGCUUCUCCUCUCUCAGGUGAGGCUGGCGAGGAGCCGCAGCAGCGUCGCCGCCGCCGCCGCCUCUACGUGCCGCCUCUGGGCCUGUCAGAGACCUUGGUCGCCGGAGGGCUUCCCGUCGGCCUCCAAGAGACGUGGGCUCCCUCCCUAGCGGAGCUCUGGGGGUGAGGUGAGCCGCUUAAAGGAGCGGCAAAGGGAUAGCCCCAACGGGCUCCGAGACUUCGCCUUUGCGAGCUCUCCGCUGAAAGAGCCCCUGUGUGACCGAGGAAACAGCAGCCUUGUUGUGCGGCGUCGAUAAAUAGUCAAUGAAGUCAUUGUGAGGCAAGGAAAAAAAAUUAAAAUAAAAUGGCAGAGCCCCCGCGCGCUCA